AAGUCCUGCUAUGACGCGCUCUUCCUCGGCUCCACCAGUUCACCGCAUGCUACUCUCACCUGGAAGACUUGGGCUCCCCUCAGCGUCCAGUUUUUCAUGUGGCUCGCCUUACAAGACCGAUGUUGGACGAGUGAGCGACUAGCACGCCACGAUCUUCCACACUCUCCUGCGUGCGUGCUCUGGGACCAGGCCCACCGAGUCCAUGUAGCAUCUCCUGAUCGGCUGCCCCUUCUCCCGCACGGUCUGGCAUGUCAUCUUCCCCAAGCUCAGGCUCACUGCUACCAUGCCCAUCGGGCAUGA
RNAcentral lists this ribosomal RNA (300 nucleotides) under Triticum aestivum (bread wheat). RNAcentral's name for it is "partial small subunit ribosomal RNA". Lineage: Eukaryota; Viridiplantae; Streptophyta; Magnoliopsida; Poales; Poaceae. The record is from RNAcentral.